This 755-nucleotide long non-coding RNA is filed under the name Rattus norvegicus (Norway rat). RNAcentral describes it as "long non-coding RNA NONRATT025455". Lineage: Eukaryota; Metazoa; Chordata; Mammalia; Rodentia; Muridae. The record is from RNAcentral.
CGUUUACCAGUUCUGGAGUUGUCUAGAAUAACUCAGUGUAGAGUUGGGAAGUCAUAGAUUGGCUAAAAUGGAGAUAACCUACCCUGGCUCCCCGUUCCCAGGACUCCCUGCCCCCUGCUCUUUAUCCCCGUCCCCCAUCCCAUAUCCCAUCCUUAAACUUAGCUUAGCAGCCUGGGUACCCCCUCACAGUGGGGUCCAGCCAGGGCAGAGGAGGAGCAUGGUGUCUAUGUCUAUGACCUGAUGGCUACUGUGGUACACAUCCUGGACUCACGAACAGGAGGCAGCUUGGUAGCUCACAUCAAAGUCGGCGAGACCUACCACCAGCGCAAGGAGGUGAGUGAAAUGACCCAGAGAAGAGUGCUCCUGGAGGAGGUAGCUGUGGUGCAGUCCCAGGUCUGCCCCGAGCUCCUGGCUACAGCACAGUCCUAGUCUGUGCCCAAGAUCUUAGCAAGGAGACAGCUAGCUAUCACUUUGACUUUAGCCUGGCUCUUUACCUGCACAGGGAGUGACUCACCAGCAGUGGUAUCUCUUCAAUGACUUCCUUAUUGAACCUAUUGAUAAGUAUGAAGCUGUGCAAUUUGAUAUGAACUGGAAAGUACCUGCUAUCCUGUAUUACGUCAAAAGGAAUCUCAAUUCCAGAUACAACCUGAACAUCAAGAACCCUAUUGAGGCUAGCGUGCUGCUGGCAGAAGCCUCACUGGCACGGAAACAACGGAAAACACACACUACCUUUAUCCCACUGAUGCUGAAUGAGA